This 468-nucleotide ribosomal RNA is filed under the name uncultured bacterium. RNAcentral describes it as "partial 16S ribosomal RNA". It matches the Rfam family "Bacterial small subunit ribosomal RNA", at positions 28 to 507 of the family's 1533-position model. The record is from RNAcentral.
GACGAACGCUGGCGGCGUGCUUAACACAUGCAAGUCGAACGGAAAGGCCCUGCUUUUGUGGGUUGCUCGAUUGGCGAACGGGUGAGUAACACGUGAGUAACCUGCCCUUGACUUUGGGAUAACUUCAGGAAACUGGGGCUAAUACCGGAUAUGAUCUCCUGCUGCAUGGUGGGGGUUGGAAAGUUUCGGCGGUUGUGGAUGGACUCGCGGCUUAUCAGCUUGUUGGUGGGGUAGUGGCUUACCAAGGCUUUGACGGGUAGCCGGCCUGAGAGGGUGACCGGCAACAUUGGGACUGAGAUACGGCCCAGACUCCUACGGGAGGCAGCAGUGGGGAAUAUUGCACAAUGGGCGGAAGCCUGAUGCAGAAACGCCGCGUGCGGGAUGACGGCCUUCGGGUUGUAAACCGCUUUCGCCGGUGACGAAGCGUGAGUGACGGUAAUGGGUAAAGAAGCACCGGCUAACUACGUG